GACGAACGCUGGCGGCGUGCUUAACACAUGCAAGUCGAACGGAAAGGCCCUGCUUUUGUGGGGUGCUCGAGUGGCGAACGGGUGAGUAACACGUGAGUGACCUGCCCUUGACUUUGGGAUAACUCCGGGAAACUGGGGCUAAUACCGGAUAGGAGCACCUGCUGCAUGGUGUGGGUGGGAGAGUUUCGGCGUUUGGGGAUGGAGCGGCGGCUCAGCAGCUUGUUGGUGGGGUGGUGGCUUACAAAGUCUUCGAGGGGUAGCCGCCUGGGGGGGGUGACCGGCAACAUUGGGCCUAGGAAAGGGCCCGGCCGCCACCGGGGGCCAGAGGUGGGGAAUUUUGAAAAAUGGGCGGAGGCCGAAUGCAGGAACGCCGCGUGCGGAAUGCCGGCUUUCGGUUUGUAACCCCCUUUCGCCUGGAACGAACCGUGAGUGACGGUAAUUGGUAAAGAAGCACCGGCUAACUACGUG
RNAcentral lists this ribosomal RNA (468 nucleotides) under uncultured bacterium. Its description in RNAcentral is "partial 16S ribosomal RNA". It matches the Rfam family "Bacterial small subunit ribosomal RNA", at positions 28 to 507 of the family's 1533-position model. The record is from RNAcentral.